This 497-nucleotide ribosomal RNA is filed under the name uncultured bacterium. RNAcentral describes it as "partial 16S ribosomal RNA". It matches the Rfam family "Bacterial small subunit ribosomal RNA", at positions 28 to 507 of the family's 1533-position model. The record is from RNAcentral.
GAUGAACGCUGGCGGCGUGCCUAAUACAUGCAAGUCGAGCGAACAGACGAGGAGCUUGCUCCUCUGACGUUAGCGGCGGACGGGUGAGUAACACGUGGAUAACCUACCUAUAAGACUGGGAUAACUUCGGGAAACCGGAGCUAAUACCGGAUAAUAUAUUGAACCGCAUGGUUCAAUAGUGAAAGACGGUUUUGCUGUCACUUAUAGAUGGAUCCGCGCCACAUUAGCUAGUUGGUAAGGUAACGGCUUACCAAGGCAACGAUGCGUAGCCGACCUGAGAGGGUGAUCGGCCACACUGGAACUGAGACACGGUCCAGACUCCUACGGGAGGCAGCUGUAGGGAAUCUUCCGCAAUGGGCGAAAGCCUGACGGAGCAACGCCGCGUGAGUGAUGAAGGUCUUCGGAUCGUAAAACUCUGUUAUUAGGGAAGAACAAAUGUGUAAGUAACUAUGCACGUCUUGACGGUACCUAAUCAGAAAGCCACGGCUAACUACGUG